CUAACUUUUUUGGGAUGCUUUCACCUACACACUCAAUGACUCAAACCAAACCAAACAAGAACACUUCCCACUACUUAUGGCUCAGGAUGGGUUUUGGUUUAGCCUAAACCUAAUCAUGUAGAAACCGAAAUCAAACCCCAACCAACAGUAAGAUAACUUAGACAGAAAACAUCACUAGGGAUGUUAGAUGUUUAUCAAAACCGGUUCCAAGAGAAUGCAACGGGACUUCUAACUUCGUGCUGCGGAUUGCUCCAAGUGAUGGAUCCAAACUCAGCCUUGUUCGUCAUACUCACUCCUUUCUUGCUAACAAACGUGACUGUGUACCUCUUCUUCUCUCCCACGCUUCUAAACGCAAGUUUUGAUGGUUUAACUGAGAUCGCAACACUAGGAGCUCCAUUAACCGUCACUUUGUAAACCGAGUUUUCUGCACCAACAUUUGUUACUUCCCGAGUGUACCGCACAACUCUUUUACCCCCAAACAAAACCGAGAAACUUGGGUAGUUGAGCUGACCAGGAUCUGAGAACUUCUUUGAGCAGUUGACGCUAGGUCGCUUCACAAUCGCAACAAUGUGAUCUACUGUGUAGUCUAGAGAGCACAAGAACCUGAUGUAUUCCUCGGUGGAGAUAUCGUAGACAAGACCCGGUGAGAGAGCCUUUUGAGGAUCUACAUGGCCCGAGCCGUGAGCAUGUGGGUUAGAGAGGCUGUUGUCUGCAGCAUCAUGGAGAGGGGCGUUGGUGUUAUCAAGAACGUAAGCUGUGGUCAUGAGGGCUGAUUUGAUAGCACUCGGACUCCACUCUGGGUGAGCUGCUUUCAAAAGACCAGCUAAACCACUGAUGUGUGGGCAUGACAUUGACGUACCUAACAAAAAUCAGACACUUUUCAUGUCAAACAAAACAAAUCCAAACCCCUCUUUAUAACCAUAGAUAAAUCAAUAACUGAAAUAUAUAAUCAAAAUCAUGCUUUAAGUUUUUUAUGAAGAGGGUAAAAACUAAAACUUCCAAGAAUCAGACCCUUUUCAUGUCAGAACAAAUCAAUAAUUUGAAUAUGCAUAAAACCAAGUUUCAAAAUUGAGCAUCUUGAACCCGUGAAGCUUCAUAAUAGUACCUGACAUGAUGUUGAACUGAGUCCUCCUUGAGUCCUUCUCAAGACCAGUAGGACCAAUAGCAUCAGACCAACCAGCCAAAAUGUUAACCCCAGGACCAAUAACAUCAGGUUUCAAGAUUUCAGGAGUUACAGUAUUUGGACCUCUUGAGCUAAAAGCAGCAACCACAGGAGACGGCUUAACAUCAAGAACCGUUCCUUUAAAAACAAGAACAGCAGUUGGAUUAGAAUCUGACUUAACAUACUCUCUAAGUAAAUCACCCGUCUUCUUCCCUACAGCAACCGCGGGAAGCAAAUGACUAUCCGCCACAAGCUCCUCUCCACUCGCCGCAGUAUUCGCCAUUAUCAUCCCCAAACCACCAGCAUCUCUAACCACAGCUCCUUUCUCAACUCUAGCAUUAACACCUCGAUCACAAACAACGAUUUUACCACGAACAAUACCCGAAUCAAGCGAACCAGGUAAACAAAGAUUACUCGAACUACUAUUCCCUUUAUUAUAAACCAACUCAAGCGGUUUCGUCCCCAUUCCUACACCGCUAUAAAGCGAAACACCGGUAAGUCUUUUCCCGUUACCGAGAUUCGCAAAAGCCGGAAAAUCUCUAUCUAAAGUCCCAGCACCAACAGUCAUAACCCAAGGCGCAACAUUAGCAACAGAAGCUCUAGUCGGACCACUAUUCCCAGCUGAACAAGACACAAAAACACCUCUCUCCAUAGCCGAAAACGAUCCAAUCGCAAUCGUAUCGCGAUAAUACGGAGCCGAACCACCACCAAGAGAUAACGAAAGCACAUCAACACCAUCAAGUAUAGCUCGAUCCAUAGCAGCUAGAAUAUCAGAUCCAAAACAACCACUACUCCAACAAACUUUAUAAGUAGCAACACGAGCAUGAGUCGCCAUACCUCUGGCCGUACCGGCGGCGUAACCGAGGAAACUAGCGUUUCCAACGGCGGAUCCAGCGGCGGUUGUUGAAGUAUGUGUUCCAUGUCCAUCAACAUCACGAGGAGAAACAGAUUCACGUUUACUCGAAAAACCACCUCCUGACGCCAUUUGAAACCCUUUGGAGAAGCUUCUAGCUCCGAUUAGCUUCUUGUUACACAACUUCGAAUCGAAAUCGGAACCAGAUUCACAUUCACCUUUCCAUUUAGAAGGAAUCUCAGGCAUAUCAGUAUCAUCAAAACUUUUAGAUUCAGGCCAAACACCAGUAUCUAAAACUCCGAUGAUAACGCCAUUAGAAGCAGAAGCAAGAUCUUGACCAGUGUAAACACCGAAUUCGGAAUUGAGACCGAGAAAUUCAGGAGUACGAGUUGUGUGAAGUGUGUAGAGAGGAUCUUCGAAGAUAUCGAGGAUUGAGUUUGAGGAGAGGAGAGAAUCGGCUUCGUUGGAGUCGAGGUAAGCGGAGAAGCCAUGGAAGGAGGUUGUGUAAGUGUAGAGAAGAGAAGAUUGUGAUUGGAGUUGGGAUGUGUACCAAUCGUGGUGAGUGAGGAAUGAUUCCGGUUUAUCGGAGUGUUUGACGCGGAUGAUGUAGGUUUUUUUGGCGGUGGUGUGGAGGAGGAAGAGGAAGAGGAAGGUGGUGAUGGUGAUGGAGGAAGAAGAAGCCAUGAGUGAGUGUGUGUGAAUGAUGAUGAUGAAGUAGAGAAGAAGAGAGUGUUAAAGAGAAUUGGAAUAAGAAGAAGAAGAGAGAGAGAGAGAGAGAGAAAGAUGGGAUUUAGAAGGGGAAAAAAGAGAAGGUGGCCACGUAAGGGACGUGUGACCGUUAGAAAAAUAACGGAAAUGCCAUCGUCGGUGGGGUUUUGAAAAGAGUGUGUGUGGGAAACACAGCUGGAGACACGAUACG
Molecule: long non-coding RNA, 2934 nt
Filed under: Arabidopsis lyrata
Lineage: Eukaryota; Viridiplantae; Streptophyta; Magnoliopsida; Brassicales; Brassicaceae
Description: long non-coding RNA (ALYR_LNC002454)
Source: RNAcentral